AUGCUCAACGUCAAGUCCGAACCUGCAACUGCAAUGGAUGCAGUGGGUAAGUCGAAAAUCGAGGAGCAUGAACAGAAGGUAAACGGAUACCAAGCUGAACUUGCAGCCCGCAUUAAGGCCAAAUACUUCUCUAAUAAGGCUUUUGACGGAGGAAAAAUCUUUGAAGAAGAAACUAUUGUUGAAGGUGAAACCAUCCGUUCAAGUAGGUGGCCAUGUACAAGUUCGUACGCGGACCCGGUAAAUUUUCUCCGAGAGAAGAAUAGCCAUGAGAAGAGGGAUUCUCCAUCUGUGGUAGCUGAAGCUUCACCAAAGAAUAAUGAAGGUGUUUUGGCAACAGAAAACAAUCUAACACCUGGCAAGAGAGAGGCAUCAAAGGAGACCUGA
Molecule: ribosomal RNA, 384 nt
Filed under: Triticum aestivum (bread wheat)
Lineage: Eukaryota; Viridiplantae; Streptophyta; Magnoliopsida; Poales; Poaceae
Description: partial small subunit ribosomal RNA
Source: RNAcentral